AAGAAAGAAAUAUAAAGGUCGAUAUGAUUGGCUUGAAACUAAUUUUAGGGGGUUCGAUUCCCUCCUUUCUUG
RNAcentral lists this transfer RNA (72 nucleotides) under Manouria impressa. RNAcentral's name for it is "tRNA-Ser". It matches the Rfam family "tRNA". Rfam says of the family: Transfer RNA (tRNA) molecules are approximately 80 nucleotides in length. Their secondary structure includes four short double-helical elements and three loops (D, anti-codon, and T loops). Further hydrogen bonds mediate the characteristic L-shaped molecular structure. tRNAs have two regions of fundamental functional importance: the anti-codon, which is responsible for specific mRNA codon recognition, and the 3' end, to which the tRNAs corresponding amino acid is attached (by aminoacyl-tRNA synthetases). tRNAs cope with the degeneracy of the genetic code in two manners: having more than one tRNA (with a specific anti-codon) for a particular amino acid; and 'wobble' base-pairing, i.e. permitting non-standard base-pairing at the 3rd anti-codon position. Lineage: Eukaryota; Metazoa; Chordata; Testudines; Testudinidae. The record is from RNAcentral.